Molecule: ribosomal RNA, 253 nt
Filed under: uncultured bacterium
Lineage: Bacteria
Description: partial 16S ribosomal RNA
Rfam family: Bacterial small subunit ribosomal RNA
Source: RNAcentral
UACGUAGGGCGCGAGCGUUGUCCGGAAUUAUUGGGCGUAAAGAGCUCGUAGGCGGUCUGUUGCGUCUGCUGUGAAAACUCGGGGCUUAACCCCGAGCCUGCAGUGGAUACGGGCAGACUAGAGGUAGGUAGGGGAGAAUGGAAUUCCCGGUGUAGCGGUGAAAUGCGCAGAUAUCGGGAGGAACACCGGUGGCGAAGGCGGUUCUCUGGGCCUUACCUGACGCUGAGGAGCGAAAGCGUGGGGAGCGAACAGG